GUGCCAGCCGCCGCGGUAAGACAGAGGGUGCAAACGUUGUUCGGAAUCACUGGGCAUAAAGCGCACGUAGGCGGUCCGCUAAGUCAGGUGUGAAAGCCCCCGGCUCAACCGGGGAAUGGCAUCUGAUACUGGCGGGCUCGAGGAUGGCAGGGGUGAGCGGAACUCCAGGUGGAGCGGUGAAAUGCGUAGAUAUCUGGAGGAACACCGGUGGCGAAAGCGGCUCACUGGACCAUAUCUGACGCUAAUGUGCGAAAGCUAGGGUAGCAAACGGGAUUAGAUACCCUCGUAGUCC
Molecule: ribosomal RNA, 292 nt
Filed under: uncultured bacterium
Lineage: Bacteria
Description: partial 16S ribosomal RNA
Rfam family: Bacterial small subunit ribosomal RNA
Source: RNAcentral